Capsicum annuum is the source of this 969-nucleotide long non-coding RNA. RefSeq lists it as uncharacterized. The transcript has 3 exons. Lineage: Eukaryota; Viridiplantae; Streptophyta; Magnoliopsida; Solanales; Solanaceae. The record is from RefSeq and is a predicted model, not a curated record.
UUCAUUUCCACCAUUUAUACCUCUCUCUAGUUCCUAUCUCUGAAAUGCGGCCAUGGAAGCUCUAAUUUCUUGCUGAAAGUUCGUGUUUGCGUGUUUCUUAGCUUGAAUCAGUGAAUGUUGUGCAUUCUGGAGCUGACUGAAAUUUAGCAAAGGAGUCACGUUCGAGAAUUGGCCUAUAAAGUUCUUCAAGAACAUGAAUAAUCUAGAGCGUGGUUGGAUGUAUGAGAGGUUAGAUGGUCGAGGAGCUUUAUAAUAUAGUUUUGUAAUCUGUGUGAAUGAAUUUAUCCAAUUCGCAUGUUCUCAACCGAAUCGGAUGAGUGGUGACAAAUUUAGAUGUCCAUGUACAAAGUGUCAGAACUUUAAAUUCAUGGAUGUUGAAACUCUUAAAUAUCACCUUUAUCAAAAUGGAUUUGUUGAGAACUAUUUUAUUUGGAAGCAUCAAGGGAAAAAAAUGUAAUAAGUGGGACUUCUUAUGUUAAUGACUUGCAUGGUGGUGGUCAACCUAAAUUAGGAGAAAAUCCAUACCGACAAAUGAUUUUGGAUGCAGCUGGUCCUAACUUUCCCCAAGGUUUGAGUUGGCAAUCUUCUACCAAUAUUGAACUUGAGACUUCUGAUCCUUUUGAACAUUCAAUGGAGGAAGAUCCUAAUCUUGUGUUUAGAAAAUUUUAUGAUUUACUACAAGCUGUUGAUGCAGAAUUUAUCCCGGUUCAAAUCUCUCUCAACUUGUAGUUGUCUCUCGGAUGUUAAAUAUUAAAAUGGACAACAAUAUGUCAUAGAGAGGUUAUAACCAGAUGAUGCAAUUGUUUAAAAAGGCUUUACCGGAAGAUAACAUAGUGCUUGAUAGCUAUUAUAAGACUAAAAAGCUAGUGUGUAGCUUGGGUUUGUCGAUUGAAAAGAUUGAUUGUUAUGAAUCAGGAUGUAUGUUGUAUUGGGGUGAUGAUGAACACCUUAUAUCUUGUACAUUUUUUG